CCGCGUGGGAGCGCUCAUUAGGGAUAGAGUCCCUAUGUUGUGGUCAGACUGGGGCGAGGUCCCGCAGGAGGUUAAGGACAUGGUCCACAACGCGAUGUCGGUGAGUUUACAAAAUAAUAUUAUGUAUUACAUUGUUGAUUUCUCGAAAAACUAAACUAAUAAACGGUUAAAUACAGGUGUGGUUUGAGGUUCCCGAGCACCUUAAGGACAGCUGGGCCGACGUUGUGCAUGGGGGAAGGUACGUUGGGAAGUUAAUGAAAAACAAAAUUGUAUGUGAUAUUAAUAAUAUUUCUAAUAUUUUUGUUGUGUCUGUAGGUACAAGGAGUGGAAGAACGAGUUGCGGACCCAUUGGACUACGCACGGGAACGCACCUUCUGGUACCCCUGCUGAGUUCCAGUACAGGGAGUACGAGUGGCGUUGGCUUCUGACAUCAGAAUUCAACAAGCCUCGUAAACAGGUAUUUAAAAAAAUUAAUUAGUUAAUUUGUCAUUAAGUACGUCCGUUUUUAAAUAUUUUACUAAUAAUUUAUUUUUUUCUUUGAAGGCCGUUUCCCGAGCGAACUCUCAGAACCGUCAACGCAACACAAGGAACCACCAUGGCGGUUCUAGACCGUUCGCUGUCUUCAUGGACGAGGCGGCCAGGGAACAUCCAGAGGUCAACCCGUACGUCUAUACGUACGAGAAGGCAUAUCCUGACUCCCAGGAGGAUAUUGUAAGUCAUUUUAGGUUUUUAAAUUUUAAAUUUUAAAUUUAUAUAUAUGUGAAAAUGUUAAUUAAUUAUUUUUUCCUAUCCAAUUAGGCGAAGGUGAGGGAGGCUAGUGACGAGGUGAUGAGUGCUAUAGUGAGGGAGACAUGGCCGGACACGCAAGAGGAAGAGAUGUCCGAAGCCAUGUCCCGGAUCGACACUUCGGAUCCGACGAUUGGGGCGAGGAUCAUGGGCACAGCCUUCCCACCGAGAGCAAACAACUUCUACUGCCGGGGUCUAGGAAAGAAAGGCGAGGGGGUCCUGAAGAGCACUCCAGGAUUUCAAAGAAAGGCAGCCUCGACCAGCAGCAGGACCACGUCCACGAUCACCAGGACGACUCAGCUAGAGUCGGAAGUUCAGAGACUACGAGA
RNAcentral lists this long non-coding RNA (1115 nucleotides) under Fragaria vesca (wild strawberry). RNAcentral describes it as "long non-coding RNA (FVES_LNC004176)". The record is from RNAcentral. Lineage: Eukaryota; Viridiplantae; Streptophyta; Magnoliopsida; Rosales; Rosaceae.